Molecule: ribosomal RNA, 253 nt
Filed under: uncultured bacterium
Lineage: Bacteria
Description: partial 16S ribosomal RNA
Rfam family: Bacterial small subunit ribosomal RNA
Source: RNAcentral
UACGUAGGUGACCAGCGUUGUCCGGAUUUACUGGGCGUAAAGAGCGCGCAGGCGGUCGUUCAAGUCGAGUGUGAAAGCCCCCGGCUCAACUGGGGAGGGUCAUUCGAUACUGAUCGACUCGAAGGCAGGAGAGGGAAGCGGAAUUCCCGGUGUAGUGGUGAAAUGCGUAGAUAUCUGGAGGAACACCGGUGGCGAAGGCGGCAUCCUGGACCGGUAUUGACACUGAGGCGCGAAAGCCAGGGGAGCAAACGGG